This 452-nucleotide long non-coding RNA is filed under the name Sander lucioperca (pikeperch). Its description in RNAcentral is "lncRNA (ENSSLUG00000016753.1)". Lineage: Eukaryota; Metazoa; Chordata; Actinopteri; Perciformes; Percidae. The record is from RNAcentral.
GUUAUAACAUGCCUAAUGUGGAGUUUUAAAGAAGGGUUUCCAGGCACUUUCUGCUGGCUGUUUCAGAGAUAUUCUCAACGAGAUGAAUGACCUGAUCAAGGACAUUACAGAGGAGCACGAUCCGACUCUAGACAUGUCAGACACCCUCCACACAUCUGGGAGCCUUGGAGUGGAAUUUGAUGAGGAUGAGCUACUGGCAGAGCUGGAGAGGCUGGUGAAGAAUCUGGAUCUUAGUCUCUUUGAGAAGGACAAACCAGAAGAGAGAGUGCCUUUUUUCAAAGUGUUGUCCCCUGCAUCACCUUCCCAACCUGCCAAGACGGACGAAGAUGAGAUUGAAGAUGAUUUAGAGUAUCUGCAGCGCUGGGCGAAUUAACCCCCUCAUAGACACACCAUCAGCCACAACACACAGGCAUUAAAAGAGGAAAGGAUGGAAUAAAUAAGCAGAAAUUAUA